Molecule: non-coding RNA, 79 nt
Organism: Pluteus cervinus
Lineage: Eukaryota; Fungi; Basidiomycota; Agaricomycetes; Agaricales; Pluteaceae
Source: the annotation of a GenBank genome assembly
GAACAAAUGGUAGAGUUGGUUACCGCAACGUCUGUCUAACACACAGAUAUAGUCCCCAGUUCGAAUCUGGGUUGGUUCC